RNAcentral lists this long non-coding RNA (852 nucleotides) under Malus domestica (apple). RNAcentral's name for it is "long non-coding RNA (MDOM_LNC000675)". Lineage: Eukaryota; Viridiplantae; Streptophyta; Magnoliopsida; Rosales; Rosaceae. The record is from RNAcentral.
UUGUUAAUUGCGAUUAACAUGUGAACCAAUUUCUAGGAUAAGUAAGACAACGCCAGUACUUACGAUGCCUUAUGAUGACUCAAACUCUUUUCGUUCUUAAUGAUUUCGACUUGUUAAAUCUAUGAACACGCCAUUCUAGAUUGCAUGCUAGGGACUAAGUUAAGUUGAAAACGCCAUUCUCUUAACAUACUAUGUAAGAAAGAGUAAUAGGUUGAGUUCUAACAUUGAGCCAACUUGAGCAUCUUCAUCCGGAAAUAAAAGAAAUUUGAAUGAAACAUAACAUGUUUGCAUGAUUAUUUGGUGGUGGAUAGCAAUACCCCUAACUCGUUUUUCUUAAUUUGUGAACUACUUAAAAUUUGUUUCUAUCCUGUUUUUGUUCGAUUUAAUUUAAAUAGCAAAUCAACUCCAAAAAUCCCAAAAAUUUGUAUGAGUGUAGCUUUGUGUGUUUAGUAUCUACAUAUAAAAUGUCGUAGACUUUAGAUAUGUAUAAGUCAGUCUAAUAAUUAUUUUUUGGUGGCUGGUCAGUAGGGACAGCAACCCAGUUUUUGUGACAUUUUAGGUAGUUAGAUAAAACAAUCUUCUGCGGGAAAGACCCUUAUUUUCAUAUGCUACAAUUGACAAAUCUUAGUGUUAAUAAGGAAAAUCAAUAGGACAUUUGUGUGCUACUUUGUGGUGUGCUUUUAAUCCUAUCAAAUUUUUGGCGCCGUUGCCGGGGAUUGUUAUUUUUAAUUACUUAUUUUUCUGUUGUUUUCUUUUCUUGUCUCAUUAGUGUUUUUGUUUUUGUUUUUAUUUCAGGUACUCUUCGUAGUAUAUGCAUACUCGAAGGUCCAAGAGCAUUGAUCUAGCUUCGUA